Octopus sinensis (East Asian common octopus) is the source of this 158-nucleotide long non-coding RNA. RefSeq lists it as uncharacterized. Lineage: Eukaryota; Metazoa; Mollusca; Cephalopoda; Octopoda; Octopodidae. The transcript is spliced from 3 exons. The record is from RefSeq and is a predicted model, not a curated record.
CCAACCACAUGAUAAAAAUAUUUUCACUUGUCCGGGCAUUGCUAUUACAGACAAAUUAACAACAAUUCCACUCCAGAGAUAAACACAAACCACCUCUUGCUGACUGCAAAAGUCCUGCCAAAUUAGCCGGAAAACACACACACACACGUCCAUUUCAU